This is a long non-coding RNA of Rosa rugosa (rugosa rose), 2796 nucleotides long. RefSeq lists it as uncharacterized. The record is from RefSeq and is a predicted model, not a curated record. The transcript is spliced from 4 exons. NCBI's taxonomy places the organism in Eukaryota, Viridiplantae, Streptophyta, Magnoliopsida, Rosales, Rosaceae.
ACAUUUUUUUUAUUGAAAAAAAGAAAAACAAAAAAGAGGGAUCUGAUUUAAAUCACUUCAAAUUUAAGCUGCCAUAUUCUCUUCGUCUUCACCGUUCGCCUGCAAAGCUUUCAAGCUCACUUCGUCUGGCGCCAAAUCUACAUAUACUUCCCGCUCAAGUUCUCAAGGUUUGAGAGCUCAGUAAUGGGAACUCUGAGCUCAGGACCAGUCUCUCUCUCGUUUUUACUCUCUCGUUCGAUUAGGGUUUGAUUGUGUGGAAUGAUUGGUAGAACUAAGUGAGGGCCAAGUUAUCGCGUAUAGUAACAUCGAUCUCUUCAACUCUCUCUCUUUGCUCUACUGACUCUACUUGCUUCCGAUUCGGUUCAUCUCCAUUUUGAUCUGUAAUUUCGCUUUUCCCUGUAUGCUAGGGGGAUCAGGAGCCACAAGCACAGCAGUCCUAGUAUCCUCACUCUUUUAACUCCCCGAGCUCUGCUCGUCCUUUAACUCCAAGUAGAACCUCUUCUUCUUCCAAUUUGAGUUUUAGGGGUAACUCCCCGUCACCUGUUUCUCCCUCCGAAGCUGCCGGUGUUAUUGCUUCUUUGAAGGACAAAAGGUAGGGAUCCUUUGAUAUCUAUUGAUUGUAUAUAAAUAAUGGUUUACUCAUAGCACAGUUUUUUAAUUCCAUGAUCCUUAUUAUUCACCGUCUAUUAAGUUCAUGUUUCUAGGUUGGUGUAUAUCUACUUGUUGCUUCUUGUGCAUUAGAUUAGAUAAUCUGCAAAUGCUUGUUCAGUCCUUUUGUUGCCAUCCCUUAUUGAUUGUUCUGGGGUAGUUGUAAGUUUUGUUUGAACUGGUUCAUGACUCGAAAUUGAGAACAUACCUCAGAAGGUUUUGAUAGACUAAAGAAUGUUGAAAAGUAGUUGAUGACUAAUAGAAGGAAACAGUUUGUAUUUAUGCCGAGCAUAAAAGCUUAGAAAUUAGGUUUACUUGAAUUGUUAUUUAUUGAAAAUUUCAUGGAUGGCACACGCAAUGCAUUUCUAAUUUGAGGGCAGUUCAUGUAGGAAUAGAAAACGUAAGUGUGUGUGAGGGGAUGAAAGUUGGAUAUGUUGGUAAUGCAUACAGAAAGUUUUUUUUUUUUAAAUCAAUUAUUUAAAUAAUCUAUUCAAGACUCUUCACUUAGUAUGCUAUGGACUCUGUUUGGUUUAACUUUCCCACUUGAUGAUUGAUACUCUUCUCAGUAUAUUAUAGAGUAGAAUUAACAGGUUAAUGAUAUAUUUAUAGUAAGUAAUAACUUGGGGGUUUAAAUUCUUUUGCACAUUUAUUAUAGUUUGGUAACUUAUAUGGUUUGAUCUUAUUAUAUUACGGGGGAGGCUUUGGCAUAGUGAAAGCAAGUAAUUACUAAUAUCAGUUUACUCUACUUUCCUCUCUCUCCUAUCUAUCUUGUUCUCUUACACUUGUCCUACAACAAGAGUGAAACAUUGUAACUUCAAUUUCUAACAGUGUUUCCUUGACAUGUUUCUGACCAGAAAAGAACAUUCUCUUUCUUAUUAUUGUCUUAUGAGUAAUAUAUUUGUUGUCUAAGUUCAUGCAUUUUCAUCUUACCAGAAGUUGUCAGCAUAGUAAAUGUGGUUGCUCUAAUGUUCUUUGCUGCAUUGUUGAUGGGGGACAUAAGUAGCAGAAGCCAUUAGAGGUUUAAAGGUAUAUAGGAGACAUGUUGAAAGUGGGAUAGAUACUUAGAUGUUAUAUGUUUUUGUUAAUCAAUGCCUAAUUCAUCAUGGAAAUUCUGAUGCUGAUGGAACAGGAAUAUAUGUUUCAUGAUUUUCUGGUCGAGUUUUAUUUAGUCUUCAAGCUUUUCUAAACUAUAUCCUAGAUUCCUAGAUGAAUUGAUACUGAUCAGGAUGAUAGGAUGAACUAAUUUGUUCUCUUGUCAUCAAGCUUUGUUCCUAGUGUUGAAUCUUUCUCUGUAGAAGCCAAGAUUGAAUACAGGGGUUUAGAAUUUGUCCAAUGUUACUGUGAAUUAUGGGGUUUAGAAAUUGUCCAAAAAUUUGAGGUUUUUCUGUAACUGGGUUUUGCUAAUAUGGGUUUAGUGUGACAGUUCUUAUUGCAAUUUACUUUGUUUGGUUGUCAAGAAAGUUUUGAGAUGGAAAUGGCUUGGUAUUUUCAAUUAUGCUUCAUGAUUUGAGUAAAGAAACAAUUCUGGAAAUGACAAUUGUUGACAAUUGUGGGGGUGGGACUGUGGGGAGGGUUAUUGUGUGUAAUAUGCUAAAUUUGAACUUUGAUUUUGACGUGAGCAGUUUAAAGAUUUGUUUUUAUUAGAUCAUGCCUUUUCAAAACUUGUCCAAUUUGAAUAUACCCUUCAAUUGGCGAAUAGAUAGAAUGAACAAAUCUUCAGUUCUUGAUGAAAUUUGGUCCUUUAUGUUUGAAUUGCCUUUAUCAGAGCCCUUUAGUAUAAUCUUGGAUAAUGGGGUUACUGUGGAUUGUGCUAAAUGUCCAACGUUAGAAAUUGUAAAGGGAAUGGGGGUUGUUAGGAUGAGAUAACAAUGGUGGAAGGUGCAAUCUGGAAUGCUGAUAACCUCAAGGCUCUAUGAUGUACGACUUCUUUAUGGAAAAUGGUUGGCAUGUGACAUCAUAUCAAGCUAUAAUCUGCCCCUUCAAGUACUCAUGUAAUCAAUCUGAAGAAAAUUCUAAUCUAGCUAGCAUGUUCUAUAUUUGAAAACCAGUUUAGUUAUAAUAUGAUUUUGUAAUAUGAAGUUAUUUAAUUGAUGUAAUUCACUACAUGAAUGCUUUUGUUUAUUAUGCUUGAAUGAAAAAUAUUUUCUA